GGCCGCCUCGUUCUGUUCCAGCGGUAGCAGACACACAGUGCUACACCCGCCCACGCCGCCACUCAUGUCCAGUAUACGGAUCUGAGACGCCCACAUGCCUGAUGGAAAAUUAUUUAGCUUUAAAUUUCAGUGCUUGAAUCAAACCACUCACAGAAAUAGUCUGGGAUUAACGCACGGAGUUCAUCUGGCCACACCCGAUUAGAGUCGGACAGUUCCAAGACUUAUUCCGCUCUUGCCCAGAGAAUGUGGCCACGUGUUAUACGUAAAAAAAUAUUUACCGGCACCAGCUUUCGGGGAAGAAAAUAUAUUUUCUGGCAACACAUCUGAAAGGAACGCGUCGGCCAUUUCAUUUGCUAGUUGUUGUUCCUCGGGAGUUCCCCCAGCAGCAGCUUCUCUCAUUUCUUGUGCCAUUUGCACUCUAAACAUAAUAUAUAUAAAGUUAAAUAUAUAUAUUUUUUUGUUAAAGCGUAAACAUUUCUAGAACGUAGGAUCAGUACUGCAGGUUAUUCAACAGUUAAUUUCAGUAGUAUUUUGUGUGAUUUUUUGUCAUCAUUAAGAAAUGUAUUAUUAAUAGAUAAUUAAUGUAUAUCUAUGUAAAUAAUAUAUUAACCUUCUUUGCUUCUUCAUUUCUUCAGUGUAAGCAUUGUGGUCAGUCUCCAAAACUAUUAUGUGAUUGUUAUCACUAUUUAUAACAAACUUUCUUGGUGUGUAAUCUAAUUGUUGGAAUGUUUGAUUGAAUACAGCGCCCAAUUUUU
Molecule: long non-coding RNA, 755 nt
Organism: Danaus plexippus (monarch butterfly)
Lineage: Eukaryota; Metazoa; Arthropoda; Insecta; Lepidoptera; Nymphalidae
Exons: 2
Source: RefSeq, a predicted model, not a curated record